This 931-nucleotide ribosomal RNA is filed under the name Salmonella enterica. Its description in RNAcentral is "partial 23S ribosomal RNA". It matches the Rfam family "Bacterial large subunit ribosomal RNA", at positions 357 to 1190 of the family's 2925-position model. Lineage: Bacteria; Pseudomonadati; Pseudomonadota; Gammaproteobacteria; Enterobacterales; Enterobacteriaceae. The record is from RNAcentral.
AUACAGGGUGACAGCCCCGUACACAAAAGCGCAUGUGCUGUGAGCUCGAUGAGUAGGGCGGGACACGUGGUAUCCUGUCUGAAUAUGGGGGGACCAUCCUCCAAGGCUAAAUACUCCUGACUGACCGAUAGUGAACCAGUACCGUGAGGGAAAGGCGAAAAGAACCCCGGCGAGGGGAGUGAAAAAGAACCUGAAACCGUGUACGUACAAGCAGUGGGAGCCCCACCACUAAGCCAGUGGUGAACUCCACAUACGCAUCCUUUGCUGAAGGCAAUGGUUAACGGAGCGAAAGCGACGUUCAACCGCAAAACAAGCAGAGGGGGCUUAGUGGUGGGGUGACUGCGUACCUUUUGUAUAAUGGGUCAGCGACUUAUAUUCUGUAGCAAGGUUAACCGUAUAGGGGAGCCGGAGGGAAACCGAGUCUUAAUUGGGCGUUAAGUUGCAGGGUAUAGACCCGAAACCCGGUGAUCUAGCCAUGGGCAGGUUGAAGGUUGGGUAACACUAACUGGAGGACCGAACCGACUAAUGUUGAAAAAUUAGCGGAUGACCUGUGGCUGGGGGUGAAAGGCCAAUCAAACCGGGAGAUAGCUGGUUCUCCCCGAAAGCUAUUUAGGUAGCGCCUCGUGAAUUCAUCUCCGGGGGUAGAGCACUGUUUCGGCUAGGGGGCCAUCCCGGCUUACCAACCCGAUGCAAACUGCGAAUACCGGAGAAUGUUAUCACGGGAGACACACGGCGGGUGCUAACGUCCGUCGUGAAGAGGGAAACAACCCAGACCGCCAGCUAAGGUCCCAAAGUCAUGGUUAAGUGGGAAACGAUGUGGGAAGGCCCAGACAGCCAGGAUGUUGGCUUAGAAGCAGCCAUCAUUUAAAGAAAGCGUAAUAGCUCACUGGUCGAGUCGGCCUGCGCGGAAGAUGUAACGGGGCUAAACCAU